UGCGGGAUAGAGCAGUCUGGUAGCUUGCAAGGCUCAUAACCUUGAGGUCGGGGGUUCAAAUCCCUCUCCCGCAU
This 74-nucleotide transfer RNA is filed under the name Erwinia phage pEa_SNUABM_47. Its description in RNAcentral is "tRNA-Met". It matches the Rfam family "tRNA". Rfam says of the family: Transfer RNA (tRNA) molecules are approximately 80 nucleotides in length. Their secondary structure includes four short double-helical elements and three loops (D, anti-codon, and T loops). The record is from RNAcentral. Lineage: Duplodnaviria; Heunggongvirae; Uroviricota; Caudoviricetes.